RNAcentral lists this long non-coding RNA (329 nucleotides) under Zostera marina. RNAcentral describes it as "long non-coding RNA (ZMAR_LNC000224)". The record is from RNAcentral. Lineage: Eukaryota; Viridiplantae; Streptophyta; Magnoliopsida; Alismatales; Zosteraceae.
AGACAAAGGUCUCAAGAAGUCGAUCACAGGAAAGUCGACUGUCAGGAAGUCGAUCCCAGUAAAAAUGGAUCCAACUUUGAAAAGUCGAUGACAAGGCGUCAAACUUCACAAAGUCGGACCACAGUCCAAUGGGGAACGACUUCGAAGGGGACCGACUUUCAGAAAAGUCGGACGCCAAGGAAGUCGAACCCAGUGCAGCCUCAGUAGAGCCCGAUAACAAAAGUCGGACUCCAGAAAGCUGCACCUCCAAGGCUAAAGUCGAAGCCUCACGCACGCUGGAAGUCGAAGCGGAAGAAGCAGGAAGUCGAAGAGAAGGAGCCUGAAAGUCG